This 773-nucleotide long non-coding RNA is filed under the name Manihot esculenta (cassava). RNAcentral describes it as "long non-coding RNA (MESC_LNC009922)". Lineage: Eukaryota; Viridiplantae; Streptophyta; Magnoliopsida; Malpighiales; Euphorbiaceae. The record is from RNAcentral.
GGAGAUUGAAUGGUAUCCAGGAAAAUGUUUAACACAGAAACUUCUUAAGAAGAAGCCUAAAAAGGGAUCAAAGAAUGCCAAGCCAAUCACUAAAACUGAGGAUUGUGAAAGUUUCUUCAACUUCUUUAAUCCGCCUCAAGUGCCUGAAGAUGAUGAAGAUAUUGAUGAAGAUACAGUAUGACGAUGUCAUUACAUUGUAUUAAUGAAAUGACAAUUUUAUUGCAUAUUGCAUGUAUUAACUUUUCCCUAUGUUCUUGACUAGGCUGAGGAGCUUCAGAAUCAAAUGGAACAAGAUUAUGACAUUGGGUGAGUUCUUUAUAAUCUACUCUUUUGUUAUGGAUGGAUUUCACUAAGUGUAAAUCCUGGUGGUAAUGCUCCUGGGAAGUAAUAGUAAUAUAGUGGAAUUCUAAAUCAAACUCUUGCUUUUUUCUCUCCUUGCAUCCUUGUUUCCGCAUGUAAUAACUUUUUUUGUUUACUAUUGAAAUUUUUAUUCAGGUCAACCAUUCGAGACAAGAUUAUCCCUCAUGCUGUAUCUUGGUUUACGGGUGAGGCAAUGGAGGGAGAUGAGCUUGGAAUGGAAGACGAUGACGAGGAUGAAGAUAUUGAUGAAGAGGAUGAUGAAGACGAUGAAGAAGAAGAGGAUGAGGAGGAUGAAGAGGAAAGCAAAACCAAAAAGGUCUGACAGUAUUUUAUUGCUGCCCUGUUGUUUUUCCUACUUUUUCUCUUUUGGGUUUUUAAUUUGAUGUGCUAAUCAUUGUUUUUGUCAAUUGGGU